GUGGGGAAUCUUAGACAAUGGGGGAAACCCUGAUCUAGCCAUGCCGCGUGAGCGAUGAAGGCCUUAGGGUUGUAAAGCUCUUUCAGCUGGGAAGAUAAUGACUGUACCAGCAGAAGAAGCCCCGGCUAACUCCGUGCCAGCAGCCGCGGUAAUACGGAGGGGGCUAGCGUUGUUCGGAAUUACUGGGCGUAAAGCGCACGUAGGCGGACCGGAAAGUCAGAGGUGAAAUCCCAGGGCUCAACCUUGGAACUGCCUUUGAAACUCCUGGUCUUGAGGUCGAGAGAGGUGAGUGGAAUUCCGAGUGUAGAGGUGAAAUUCGUAGAUAUUCGGAGGAACACCAGUGGCGAAGGCGGCUCACUGGCUCGAUACUGACGCUGAGGUGCGAAAGCGUGGGGAGCAAACAGGAUUAGAAACCCGAGUAGUCC
RNAcentral lists this ribosomal RNA (425 nucleotides) under uncultured bacterium. RNAcentral's name for it is "bacterial SSU rRNA". It matches the Rfam family "Bacterial small subunit ribosomal RNA", at positions 354 to 796 of the family's 1533-position model. The record is from RNAcentral.